RNAcentral lists this ribosomal RNA (376 nucleotides) under Serratia symbiotica. RNAcentral describes it as "bacterial SSU rRNA". It matches the Rfam family "Bacterial small subunit ribosomal RNA", at positions 10 to 382 of the family's 1533-position model. The record is from RNAcentral. Lineage: Bacteria; Pseudomonadati; Pseudomonadota; Gammaproteobacteria; Enterobacterales; Yersiniaceae.
AGUUUGAUCAUGGCUCAGAUUGAACGCUGGCGGCAGGCCUAACACAUGCAAGUCGAGCGGUAGCACAAGAGAGCUUGCUCUCUGGGUGACGAGCGGCGGACGGGUGAGUAAUGUCUGGGAAACUGCCUGAUGGCGGGGGAUAACUAGUGGAAACGGUAGCUAAUACCGCAUAACGUCGCAAGACCAAAGUGGGGGCCCUUCGGGCCUCACGCCAUCAGAUGUGCCCAGGUGGGAUUAGCUGGUAGGUGAGGUAACGGCUCACCUAGGCGACGAUCCCUAGCUGGUCUGAGAGGAUGACCAGCCACACUGGAACUGAGACACGGUCCAGACUCCUACGGGAGGCAGCAGUGGGGAAUAUUGCACAAUGGGCGCAAGC